UUCUGUGCAUGGUUUGGAACUGGAAGGAGGAAGGGCAGGGAGAGUUCUGUGUCAGUUAAUCCCUGAUUACUGUGGGGAUUAGCCAGCUCUGUUCUCUCUCUGAGGUGAAAGAAAGAAACUCUUGAAAUAUCUUGAGGGUUUUUUCCUUUCCUCACUGUGGGAAACGUCAGGAAGAAGACUGGUUUAUACCUGCUGCUGUGACAACUUUUGUUUGAAGGAAGAAAGACCAGAAGACCUGCUUGCCUAGACUCUGAGUCUUACGUCAGAGCCACACUCUGUUCAGCAAAUAUGAUCCGUAUGCAGUCUACUGUACCCGUUGUACUUAAGGAUUCCCAACAUGGAGCAUCAUCUGAGCAAGAUGUCGCCAUCCUAGGAUCUACUCCUAAAUCUCUACUUGUCUUAUGUGUAAAGUUGGCCAAACUAUAUUAACUUCUCCAUCUCUGUAAUAUUUAAUCUGUUUUCAGGGCAUUCAACCAACCAACUAAUCAUGCAAGUCUGGUGGGAAGCAUGAUGGACUUGGAGACAGAGUUUGGCUCAAAUUUCACCUCAGAUACUUGCUAGCUUUAGGACUCUGGGCAAGUCCCUCAAUAUUUUUCAGCUUAAGUUUCAUCUAUAAAAUGGGAGUAAAAUAGCAUCUAAUCCAUUGAUUUUAUUCUAAGGAUCAAAUGAAAUAAAAUACAAAGAACUUUGUAAA
Molecule: long non-coding RNA, 694 nt
Organism: Monodelphis domestica (gray short-tailed opossum)
Lineage: Eukaryota; Metazoa; Chordata; Mammalia; Didelphimorphia; Didelphidae
Source: RefSeq, a predicted model, not a curated record